AGGACGAACGCUGGCGGCGUGCUUAACACAUGCAAGUCGAGCGGUAAGGCCCUUCGGGGUACACGAGCGGCGAACGGGUGAGUAACACGUGGGUGAUCUGCCCUGCACUCUGGGAUAAGCCUGGGAAACUGGGUCUAAUACUGGAUAUGACCUGUCCUCGCAUGGGGGUGGGUGGAAAGAUUUAUCGGUGCAGGGAUGGGCCCGCGGCCUAUCAGCUUGUUGGUGGGGUAAUGGCCCACAAGGCGACGAUGGGUAGCCGACCUGAGAGGGUGACCGGCCACGACUGGGACUGGACGACACGGCCCAGACCUCCGUACGGGAGGCAGCAGGUGGGGAAUAUUGCACGAAGUGGGCGGAAGCCUGAUGCAGCGACGCCGCGUGAGGA
This 385-nucleotide ribosomal RNA is filed under the name uncultured soil bacterium. RNAcentral describes it as "bacterial SSU rRNA". It matches the Rfam family "Bacterial small subunit ribosomal RNA", at positions 26 to 407 of the family's 1533-position model. The record is from RNAcentral.